Molecule: ribosomal RNA, 395 nt
Filed under: uncultured Chrysophyceae
Lineage: Eukaryota; Chrysophyceae
Description: partial small subunit ribosomal RNA
Rfam family: Eukaryotic small subunit ribosomal RNA
Source: RNAcentral
GCUUGUCUCAAAGAUUAAGCCAUGCAUGUGUAAGUUUAAAUAAAUCUAAACUGUGAAACUGCGAAUGGCUCAUUAUAUCAGUUAUAGUUUAUUUGAUAGUACCUUACUACUUGGAUAACCGUAGUAAUUCUAGAGCUAAUACAUGCGCAAAAACCCGACUUCUGGAAGGGUUGUAUUUAUUAGAUGGAAACCAAUGCGGGGCAACCCGGUAUAUGGUGAUUCAUAAUAACUUUCGGAUCGAUCUUCGGAUCGAUGCAUCAUUCAAGUUUCUGCCCUAUCAGCUUUGGAUGGUAGGGUAUUGGCCUACCAUGGCUUUAACGGGUAACGGAGAAUUAGGGUUCGAUUCCGGAGAGGGAGCCUGAGAAAUGGCUACCACAUCCAAGGAAGGCAGCAGG